GACGAACGCUGGCGGCGUGCCUAACACAUGCAAGUCGAACGGAGCAGAUCCCUUCGGGGGUUUGCUUAGUGGCGAACGGGUGAGUAACGCGUGAGGAACCUGCCUUUCAGUGGGGGACAACAGUUGGAAACGACUGCUAGUACCGCAUAAUGCUUUUGAGCGGCAUCGCUUGAAAGCCAAAGAUUUAUCGCUGAAAGAUGGUCUCGCGUCUGAUUAGCUAGUUGGUGAGGUAACGGCUCACCAAGGCGACGAUCAGUAGCCGGUCUGAGAGGAAGGUCCCCCACAUUGGUACUGAGACACGGACCAA
This 307-nucleotide ribosomal RNA is filed under the name uncultured bacterium. Its description in RNAcentral is "bacterial SSU rRNA". It matches the Rfam family "Bacterial small subunit ribosomal RNA", at positions 28 to 334 of the family's 1533-position model. The record is from RNAcentral.